UAUAUUUGCAUGCAUUUCACAUAAAAAUUAUUAAAAAAAUAAUGGCAUG
Flavobacteriaceae bacterium TMED212 is the source of this 49-nucleotide non-coding RNA. NCBI's taxonomy places the organism in Bacteria, Pseudomonadati, Bacteroidota, Flavobacteriia, Flavobacteriales, Flavobacteriaceae. The record is from Rfam.